UACAGAGGUGGCAAGCGUUGUCCGGAAUCACUGGGCGUAAAGGGCGCGUAGGCGGUCUGUCGCGUCGGCUGUGAAAACCCGAGGCUCAACCUCGGGCCUGCAGUCGAUACGGGCAAACUAGAGUACUGCAGGGGAGACUGGAAUUCCUGGUGUAGCGGUGAAGUGCGCAGAUAUCAGGAGGAACACCGGUGGCGAGGGCGGGUCUCUGGGCAGUAACUGACGCUGAGGAGCGAAAGCGUGGGGAGCGAACAGG
This 253-nucleotide ribosomal RNA is filed under the name uncultured bacterium. RNAcentral describes it as "partial 16S ribosomal RNA". It matches the Rfam family "Bacterial small subunit ribosomal RNA", at positions 524 to 776 of the family's 1533-position model. The record is from RNAcentral.